This 286-nucleotide long non-coding RNA is filed under the name Ananas comosus (pineapple). RNAcentral describes it as "long non-coding RNA (ACOM_LNC001023)". Lineage: Eukaryota; Viridiplantae; Streptophyta; Magnoliopsida; Poales; Bromeliaceae. The record is from RNAcentral.
AAUCAAUUAAAUAUGGAAAAUUUGAUUUUCUGGCACUGGGUACCGGUACUAGGUAUUGGGUACUGGUACGAGGCAAACCGGUACUGUUAAACUUGAGUGUUUAAAAACUUGUUUUUGAACUGGGUACCGAUACGCGGGUUCAUGUACCGGUACGAGGUCUGCGGAAUUAUUUUUAAAUACCGGUAUUGUGUUUUAUUUUUCCUCCAAUACUUCAUAAAACUCUUCCUUUCUCUCUCUAAAAAUCCCCUAGCAUCUUUCUCACCCGGAUCUACAAGUUUUCUGCAGA